Molecule: non-coding RNA, 483 nt
Filed under: Pan troglodytes (chimpanzee)
Lineage: Eukaryota; Metazoa; Chordata; Mammalia; Primates; Hominidae
Source: RNAcentral
AGUUCCCGUUCUGCAGCUCCCCGUUCACGUUCUGCAUGGACAGGAUCUCCAACUCGAACUGACCCGAGGCCCCACACACCUGCCGGCGAGGGAAGGAGGUUGGACCGUAUAUUAUGGAGCACCUUUUGCAAGGAUGAAAUACUCAGUCUGGAUGGAUGGGAAUAAUUCAGCUGGGGAUUUGGAGGCCCUAAAGGGCAGUGUAGCCAAUGGACAGGUGAUCCCAGGUACCUGCAUGAGUGGAGGCAGGCCCUUCCUGCAGACCUGCACUGAACUAUAACAUGGGCAUAGAGGGCUGGCCUGAGUGAUCAAUAGAAUACUGUAGAGGCAACAACAUGUGGCUUCUGAGGAAGCAUUGUAGCCUCUUGGUUUGUUCAUGCUGUGGAAGCCAGCUGCCAUGUCAAGAGGAUGCUCAAGCAGCCCUGUGGAAAGGCCCGUAUGCAACUCUCAGAAAGAAGAGUCUAUGUCCCUGUACACAGAAUCUGG